Molecule: ribosomal RNA, 480 nt
Filed under: uncultured bacterium
Lineage: Bacteria
Description: partial 16S ribosomal RNA
Rfam family: Bacterial small subunit ribosomal RNA
Source: RNAcentral
GACGAACGCUGGCGGCGUGCUUAACACAUGCAAGUCGAACGGUAAGGCCCUUCGGGGUACACGAGUGGCGAACGGGUGAGUAACACGUGGGUGAUCUGCCCUGCACUUCGGGAUAAGCCUGGGAAACUGGGUCUAAUACCGGAUAGGACCACUGCCUGCAUGGGUGGUGGUGGAAAGCUUUUGCGGUGCUUGGGAUGGGCCCGCGGCCUAUCAGCUUGUUGGUGGGGUGAUGGCCUACCAAGGCGACGACGGGUAGCCGGCCUGGGAGGGGGACCGGCCACCCUCGUACUGAGAUACGCACCAGACUCCGACGGGGGGCAGCAGUGGGGAAUCUUGCCCAAUGGGCGCGAGCCUGAUGAAGCGGCGCCCGGUUAGGAAUGCCGGCCUUCGCGGUGUGAAACUCUUCCAGCGCCGACGAAGCGCAAGUGACGGUAGGUGCAGAAGAAGGACCGGCUAACUACGUGCCAGCCGCCGCAGUAA